RNAcentral lists this ribosomal RNA (253 nucleotides) under uncultured bacterium. RNAcentral describes it as "partial 16S ribosomal RNA". It matches the Rfam family "Bacterial small subunit ribosomal RNA", at positions 524 to 776 of the family's 1533-position model. The record is from RNAcentral.
UACAGAGGUCUCAAGCGUUGUUCGGAUUCAUUGGGCGUAAAGGGUGCGCAGGCGGUCUCGUAAGCUGGGUGUGAAAUCCCCGGGCUUAACCUGGGAAUGGCAUUUGGGACUGCAAGGCUGGAGUGCGGCAGAGGAGACUGGAAUUCCUGGUGUAGCAGUGAAAUGCGUAGAUAUCAGGAGGAACACCGAUGGCGAAGGCAGGUCUCUGGGCUGACACUGACGCUCAUGCACGAAAGCGUGGGGAGCAAACAGG